Long non-coding RNA from Sander lucioperca (pikeperch), 1291 nucleotides. RefSeq lists it as uncharacterized. The transcript has 3 exons. The record is from RefSeq and is a predicted model, not a curated record. NCBI's taxonomy places the organism in Eukaryota, Metazoa, Chordata, Actinopteri, Perciformes, Percidae.
GGUGUGUUUUUUUUUUUUCAAGGGAAAGGCACCAUCAACAUAAGUUACUGAUGGAGCCUAAUAUAGCCUAACACUAGUGUUAGCAUUAAAAUGUAAAAUUAAGUAAACCAUUAAAUAUGUAGCAUAUUACAGUUCAAAGAGGCAACAAACAACGGAAAGGAACACUAUUGAAUGCUCCGACCCACAUUGAUCCACUGACUUACUGUGUGAAGUGCUACACAUUCAGGAGAGAAGACAUGCUUCCCUCCCUCACACUGACUGGGCCAAUGGCAUUGGAGAACCGGUGGAGGAGGGAUGAAUAGUAUGAGAGAUGGGGGACGAGACCUUCCUAGAACCAGAAUAAAAGAUUCUAAAACAAAUUACACACUGAUGAAAGCCUCAAAGGGCAGAAUAAGCCAUAAUUGGAACCUAUUAACUGGCUCAUGCAAGACUAAAUAGAAAGAUAAUAUGUCAAACUUUCACUUAAAACCAUUUGUUGGGAUAUGUAAAGUUAACUUUUGCUCUAUCACCCCCGCUGCAUGAAGUAAUUUAAGCCUUAUCUGCUCUCCGGGUCGUCUCAGUUCAGACAGCUCAGCUCUAAAUGGAGCACAGGAGCCGGUGUCUUCCUCUGUGUGUCACACUGCAUAAAAUCUGGGUUAGCUACAGCGCAGCACCCAGGGGAGGCGCUUUUCCCUCUCAUCCUCGACACGUCUCUCUGCCAAACGGACACAGGGGGGGGUAGCCACAGCAUAGUAGUGCAGUGUGUCAGGGCCUGCGGCAUAUGAGAGAGAGUCCUGGCUAGUUUCACCCUUUUUUUUUUCUCCAGACGCAUAGUGAGACACAUGCACAGUCAUGGCUACAAAUACCUUAUACACACAUGCAUGCUGUGGGUGAGGGUAUAUGUUGUGCACACACAAAUGCACAUAGAAACUCACACGUCUCAGCCACCUAAUCUGGUAACAGCAGCCACCUCAGUGGCCAGAGGCUUCGUGGGGGGGCUCCAGUGACACACUCUCCCUGCACAGAUACACACAUUUCCUCCCUCCGUGUCAUUGCACCGUGUCUCUCUUGGCAGUUGUAGCCAUUGGAUCAGACACUUACAAAUUCCUCUCUUGUCGUUUGUGGGCGCGGGGAAGCUGAGCUGGAGCGGUACAACACCUGUUGCAGCAGAGAGAGGAGCGUGUACAGCAAACGGGGCGUAAUUGAAAUACUUGUUUACAUAAUAUCCAGUUAUUGGUGUAAAAAUCUUCAGCUCAAAGAGUAACAUACACAGACAGAUUGCGGACAGGAUUACAAAAAAAAAAAAAAAAAU